Molecule: transfer RNA, 79 nt
Filed under: Piedraia hortae CBS 480.64
Lineage: Eukaryota; Fungi; Ascomycota; Dothideomycetes; Capnodiales; Piedraiaceae
Description: tRNA-Ala
Rfam family: tRNA
About the family: Transfer RNA (tRNA) molecules are approximately 80 nucleotides in length.
Source: RNAcentral
GGGCUUGUGGUCUAGCGGUAUGACAUCUUCUUAGCACUUGGUUUGGAGAAGGUUCUGUGUUCGACUCACAGCUAGUCCA